Molecule: long non-coding RNA, 2122 nt
Organism: Papaver somniferum (opium poppy)
Lineage: Eukaryota; Viridiplantae; Streptophyta; Magnoliopsida; Ranunculales; Papaveraceae
Exons: 2
Source: RefSeq, a predicted model, not a curated record
UUUCCUUUUAUUUCUUUAUCUUUCUUCUUCCUCAUUUCUUCUUCUUCCUUCUGUUUCUUCUUUUCUCUUAUUCUUCUCCUUCUGUGAGUGAUUUGAGAGUUGUUUGUGAAAGUGAUUUGAGAGAAUCGUUUGAUGAUGAUGAUUAGAUGAUGAAGGGGAUGUUGUAGCUGUGAAUUAUGAUGAAGAACAGUUAGGGUUCGAAUCUGGGAAGAUCAAAAUUAGGAUUAUAGAUUCGAUUAUUGCUUUGAAGAUUUAGAAGAUAAGAUACAGAGCUAUGGCUUGAUGAAGAAUCACGGGUUGAUGUUUAAUUAAAGUGUUGAAGUGGAUUUGGUGAUGAAUUGAAGAACUAGGGUUUCUCAAGAUGAACUGGAAGUUCGAUUUAGUGAUGUUUAAGAAGGAUUGAAGUUGGUUUUUCAUUGAUUGAGGAACGGGGUGGAGUUAAUUAGAUGUUGGAGCUUUAAUUUCAAUUUAAUUGUGAAUUUGAGAAUUAGGGUUCUUGAGUCUCGAUCUCAGAGAAGCUACGGAAGAUGAAAUUGAAGAUGAAGAAGAUGAUGUUGAGAGAAAUAGAAGAUGGGUUUGAAUUAAAGAUGUGAGGUAGUUCUGUUGAAAUAUCAGUGAGUUAGGGUUCUAAAGAGGAUUGAGAAAUAAAUUGGGGUUUAUGGUAUUGGUGUUCUGAAAUUGAGAUGAACUGUUGAGGAACUGAAUAGAGUUAAAGUAAGCAGAAUUGUAUUAAAUUGCUCGACCUGGAUCAUCCUGAAGUAAUUUUUUCUCUAAGUUAAUUCAGUAUGGUUAAUCAAUUCAUUGUUUGUUUAUGGGCGAUUGAUAUUAGAUUUGUAAAGGGUGUUAUUAAGAAUCAAUAUGAAUGUGGAGUUGAGUUUUGAAACUGGUAUUGAUGUGAACCAGUUGGAAAAGGAAAGGAGGUAAUAUUAUUGAGUGAUGAAGGACUGCUGUGUUGAUGAAUAUGUUCUGAAACUGAGAUUGUGACACUGCAGAUGGAACUAUUGGUGUUGUAGAUACUAGAAAGGGGAUGGAUAGUUGGAUGGGUGUAUCUGUAGUAUAAUUGAAUUGGUAGUGGUCAUGGUUUUUAGUUGUGGCUGUAGCAUUAAAUGGUAAAGAUGAGUACAGGGUUUGAAUGUGUUUUCUGGAUAGUUGGUAUGGUUGAAAUGGAACUGUUGUUGUAGAAUAGGUUUGUAUAUGUGACUGGAAUGUGAAGUUCUUCCUGAAUUGAAUGCAUGGGUGCUGGAACUGGGAAGGCUAUGGAUUGCAGUUGUAUAUGUGAAGUGGCUGUAACUUGUGAUGUUGCCGAGUUUAGUUCACAAUGGAUGUGACUGAGAUAAAUAGAACAUAAUGGAGAUGGUGGUAUGCAGUGGAAGUGGUGUUUCAGAUGUAAUUUGGUUAAUUGGUAUGAAUAUGAUGAGUUAAGUAAUGCAGAUCCUUAUUAUAAGGAAGAUUGAUACAGGGGAGGUUACAGAUUGUGGUUAGUAUGGUGAAUGAUAUGGUAUGCUUGAGUUAAUGAUGAUAUUGCUGUUAAGAGUGGAGUGAUUAUGUAUGAGUAAUUGAGAACAAAAUUGUCAGUUCCAGGAAAGAGUUGAGUUGAAUCCUUUUAGUAGAAGCUUGUAUCUGCAAUUGCAGUCAGCUGCUAGCUUUGGGGGCGCUACAAUAUGGUUGGAAAUGGUAGAACUGACGUUGUUAUUAAAGCCGAUUAGAAGAACAUUGCAGGGAACUGGAGCUGCAGUUGUGGAGUUCGAAGCUGUAAAAUGGUGGUUUGAGAAGCUGAUGAAAAGAAGUGGUAUUAUAGAUGGCUGAAGCUGAUGCUGGUAUUUAGAGUUACAGGUGCUGAUGCUGUUAAGUUCAGGGAAUGAGAUGGUUUGUGGUAGAAUGGUUGUUUGAAGUUGCAGAUUGUAGUGGCUCUGAAGAUUGUGUUGUUGUUAGGGGUUGUACUGCAGGAUAGGUGUGUAUGAUGCUGUCAAGGGUUAGUUCAGGGCUAAAACUGUAAAACUACAUAUUUGUGUGCCUUCAUUCUGCAAGGAAGUAGAGCCACUAAAAAGAUGAUGAGUGCCUAUGCCUCUCUGCUUGAUUUCCUUGAAUGAUGAAUGAUUUGGAACAAAAUACUUAACGAAAA